UUCAGCAGGCAGAUUUAACUUUCUGCCACCGAAUACAUUAGCAUGGGAUAAUGGAAUAGGACCCUGUCCUCCUAUUUUCAGUUGGUUUUUGAGGACCAGGGUAAUGAUUAAUAGGGAUAGUUGGGGGCAUUAAUAUUUAAUUGUCAGAGGUGAAAUUCUUGGAUUUAUGAAAGAUUAACUUCUGCGAAAGCAUCUGCCAAGGAUGUUUUCAUUAAUCAAGAACGAAAGUUAGGGGAUCGAAGACGAUCAGAUACCGUCGUAGUCUUAACCAUAAACGAUGCCGACCAGCGAUUAGGAGACGUUGAAUACAAAACACCACCAUCAGACGGCGGGGCAUCUCCGCGCAAGCAGGGGUGGUUCGUUUCUCUGGUGGCCCGGUGAAUGACUCCCCUAGCAGCUUGUGAGA
RNAcentral lists this ribosomal RNA (406 nucleotides) under Acanthamoeba genotype T20. Its description in RNAcentral is "SSU rRNA". It matches the Rfam family "Eukaryotic small subunit ribosomal RNA", at positions 776 to 1095 of the family's 1831-position model. Lineage: Eukaryota; Discosea; Longamoebia; Acanthamoebidae. The record is from RNAcentral.